RNAcentral lists this ribosomal RNA (801 nucleotides) under uncultured bacterium. Its description in RNAcentral is "bacterial SSU rRNA". It matches the Rfam family "Bacterial small subunit ribosomal RNA", at positions 70 to 848 of the family's 1533-position model. The record is from RNAcentral.
GAAAGGGUAGCAAUACCCCUAGUAAACCGGCAAACGGGUGAGUAAUACGUAGGCAACCUACCUCAAAGACUGGGAUAACCUCGCGAAAGUGGGGCUAAUACCGGAUAAUUCAAGGUGCUCGCAUGGGUGCCUUGUAAAAGUUAUAAUGAUUUAUCAUGAUAACGCUCUGAGAUGAGCCUACGGUCGAUUAGCUAGUUGGUGAGGUAAUGGCUCACCAAGGCGACAAUCGAUAGCCGGCCUGAGAGGGUGAUCGGCCACACUGGGACUGAGAUACGGCCCAGACUCCUACGGGAGGCAGCAGUGAGGAAUAUUGGUCAAUGGACGAAAGUCUGAACCAGCAACGCCGUGUGAGGGAUGAAGCAUCAAGGUGCGUAAACCUCUGUUAGAAGGGACAAAUAGUUCCGAUUGCAUCGGGAUUUGACGGUACCUUCAGAGAAAGCCCCGGCUAACUCCGUGCCAGCAGCCGCGGUAAUACGGGGGGGGCUAGCGUUGUCCGGAAUUAUUGGGCGUAAAGGGCGCGUAGGCGGGAUGGUAAGUCAGUGGUGAAAUUUCGAGGCUUAACUUCGAGUCUGCCUCUGAGACUGCUAUUCUUGAGUGCGGAAGAGGAAAGCGGAAUUCCCGGUGUAGCGGUGAAAUGCGUAGAUAUCGGGAAGAACACCAGUAGCGAAGGCGGCUUUCUGGUCCGUUACUGACGCUGAGGCGCGAAAGCGUGGGUAGCAAACAGGAUUAGAUACCCUGGUAGUCCACGCUGUAAACGAUGGGCACUAGGUGUUGGCCCCGAACUGACGGGGUCAGGUGCCG